GUGCCAGCAGCCGCGGUAAAACGUAGGAGGCGAGCGUUAUCCGGAUUCACUGGGCGUAAAGCGCGUGUAGGUGGCUCGCUAAGUCGAAUGUUAAAGCCCCCGGCUUAACUGGGGGAGGUCAUUCGAUACUGGUGGGCUUGAGGGUAGGAGAGGAGAGUGGAAUUCCCGGUGUAGCGGUGGAAUGCGUAGAGAUCGGGAGGAACACCAGUGGCGAAAGCGGCUCUCUGGCCUGCACCUGACACUGAGACGCGAAAGCGUGGGGAGCAAACGGGAUUAGAAACCCUAGUAGUCC
RNAcentral lists this ribosomal RNA (292 nucleotides) under uncultured bacterium. RNAcentral's name for it is "partial 16S ribosomal RNA". It matches the Rfam family "Bacterial small subunit ribosomal RNA", at positions 505 to 796 of the family's 1533-position model. The record is from RNAcentral.